UAAAUGUUUCCAGUGACGGGUGCAUAUGCGCAUCCAUCAGUGCAGACGAAAGGCGCUGAGGCAGACUGGACGCCCAUACAAUGCACAGACAGGGAGUGUAGCCACUCCUUGAUGAAGGCUCCGCAUCUGCACUGUCCAUUCUGCUCCCAGGACAGUCUCUUCACUGAUGAGAUUCUCCUCAAGGCGCACUACGUACAGGGUCAAGUACGUGGAUAAAGGCAUCAACUUUGGGGGAUGUCAACCAGAUCUUCACCACAUACACUGACCCAGCACCCAACAGUACCAGCCUGGUAACACACCUCAUAGUCCCCCAGUCACAGCAGCCAUCGGAGACGGACACAUCAUCCCUGGGGCUAUAAGCAGACUGAUGGGCAGCAGCCGCAGAUCGAGUACCAGUAUGCCUGCAUCAAUGAUCCAAGCCAGAGCACUGCCAAUGGGGAAGUUGUCCUUAUUGAAAUACCAGAUGAAGGAAGCAAAGAGGAUUUGGAG
RNAcentral lists this long non-coding RNA (489 nucleotides) under Patiria miniata (bat star). Its description in RNAcentral is "uncharacterized LOC119742964, transcript variant X2". Lineage: Eukaryota; Metazoa; Echinodermata; Asteroidea; Valvatida; Asterinidae. The record is from RNAcentral.